CACGUAGGGCGCAAGCGUUGUCCGGAAUUAUUGGGCGUAAAGAGCUCGUAGGCGGUCUGUUGCGUCCGCUGUGAAAACUCGGGGCUUAACCCCGAGCCUGCAGUGGAUACGGGCAGACUAGAGGUAGGUAGGGGAGAAUGGAAUUCCCGGUGUAGCGGUGAAAUGUGUUGAUAUCGGAAGGAACGCCAGAGGCGAAAGCGCCACACUGGGUCUCAACUGACGCUGAGGCACGAAAGCCAGGGGAGCAAACGGG
RNAcentral lists this ribosomal RNA (253 nucleotides) under uncultured bacterium. RNAcentral describes it as "partial 16S ribosomal RNA". It matches the Rfam family "Bacterial small subunit ribosomal RNA", at positions 524 to 776 of the family's 1533-position model. The record is from RNAcentral.